AACGAACGCUGGCGGCAUGCCUAACACAUGCAAGUCGAACGAGACCUUCGGGUCUAGUGGCGCACGGGUGCGUAACGCGUGGGAACCUGCCCUUAGGUUCGGAAUAACUCCCCGAAAGGGGUGCUAAUACCGGAUAAUGUCUUCGGACCAAAGAUUUAUCGCCUUUGGAUGGGCCCGCGUUGGAUUAGCUAGUUGGUAGGGUAAAAGCCUACCAAGGCGACGAUCCGUAGCUGGUCUGAGAGGAUGAUCAGCCACACUGGGACUGAGACACGGCCCAGACUCCGAGGGGAAGCCGGAGGGGGGAAGAUGGGACAAUGGGGGAAAGGCUGAUGCAGCCAUGCGGGGUGUGUGAAGAAGGUGUUCGGAGUGUAAAGAAAUUGAAGUUGGGAGGAAGGGAAGGAAGUGAAUAACUUGCUGUUUUGACGUGAGCGAAGGAAGAAGCACCGGCGAACGUCGUG
This 458-nucleotide ribosomal RNA is filed under the name uncultured bacterium. RNAcentral describes it as "partial 16S ribosomal RNA". It matches the Rfam family "Bacterial small subunit ribosomal RNA", at positions 29 to 507 of the family's 1533-position model. The record is from RNAcentral.